GGUGACAUAGCCAAUUAGGAAAGGCAAAAGUAUAGCAUAAACUUAGAGUGUUGGUUCGAAUCCAACUGUCACCU
Molecule: transfer RNA, 74 nt
Filed under: Bacillus pseudomycoides
Lineage: Bacteria; Bacillati; Bacillota; Bacilli; Caryophanales; Bacillaceae
Also listed under: 2 other names
Description: tRNA-OTHER
Rfam family: tRNA
About the family: Transfer RNA (tRNA) molecules are approximately 80 nucleotides in length. Their secondary structure includes four short double-helical elements and three loops (D, anti-codon, and T loops). Further hydrogen bonds mediate the characteristic L-shaped molecular structure. tRNAs have two regions of fundamental functional importance: the anti-codon, which is responsible for specific mRNA codon recognition, and the 3' end, to which the tRNAs corresponding amino acid is attached (by aminoacyl-tRNA synthetases). tRNAs cope with the degeneracy of the genetic code in two manners: having more than one tRNA (with a specific anti-codon) for a particular amino acid; and 'wobble' base-pairing, i.e. permitting non-standard base-pairing at the 3rd anti-codon position.
Source: RNAcentral